CAGGAUGAACGCUAGCGGCAGGCCUAAUACAUGCAAGUCGAACGGUGGUAGCAAUACCAUAGUGGCGCACGGGUGCGUAACGCGUAACCAACCUGCCCAUCUCUGGGGGAUAGCCCGCCGAAAGGCGGAUUAAUACCGCAUAAACCAGCAACACGGCAUCGUGUAACUGGUAAAGAUUUAUUGGAGAUGGAUGGGGUUGCGUGACAUUAGCUAGUUGGCGGGGUAACGGCCCACCAAGGCGACGAUGUCUAGGGGACCUGAGAGGGUGAUCCCCCACACUGGCACUGAGAUACGGGCCAGACUCCUACGGGAGGCAGCAGUAGGGAAUAUUGGGCAAUGGGCGAGAGCCUGACCCAGCCAUGCCGCGUGCCGGAUGAAGGCCUUCUGGGUUGUAAACGGCUUUUCUCAGGGAAGAAAAAGACCAUGCGUGGUACACUGACGGUAC
Molecule: ribosomal RNA, 445 nt
Filed under: soil bacterium 13V-01
Lineage: Bacteria
Description: bacterial SSU rRNA
Rfam family: Bacterial small subunit ribosomal RNA
Source: RNAcentral